ACAUACGACCAUAGGGUGUGGACAACAGGGCUUCCCGUCCGCUCAGCCGUACUUAAGCCACACGCCGGUGAGUUAGUAGUUGGGUGGGUGACCACCAGCGAAUCCUCACUGUUGUAUGUU
Molecule: ribosomal RNA, 120 nt
Organism: Penicillium freii
Lineage: Eukaryota; Fungi; Ascomycota; Eurotiomycetes; Eurotiales; Aspergillaceae
Source: Rfam